Molecule: non-coding RNA, 117 nt
Organism: Homo sapiens (human)
Lineage: Eukaryota; Metazoa; Chordata; Mammalia; Primates; Hominidae
Rfam family: Metazoan signal recognition particle RNA
About the family: The signal recognition particle (SRP) is a universally conserved ribonucleoprotein.
Source: Rfam
GCCGGGCAUGGUGGCUCAUGCCUGUAAUCCCAGCACUUUGGGAGGCUGAGGCAGGUGGAUCACCUGAGGCCAGGAGUUCGUGACCAGCCUGGCCAACAUGGUGAAUUCCUGUCUCUA